GAUCACUUGGCUCGUGGGGUCAAAACGCCGGACGUGGUGACUUGUUCAUUAACAAAAACCUCUCACAACUCUAGACGGGGUAUUCACUUUGGCUCGUGCGUCAAA
Molecule: ribosomal RNA, 105 nt
Filed under: Haliotis rugosa
Lineage: Eukaryota; Metazoa; Mollusca; Gastropoda; Lepetellida; Haliotidae
Description: partial 5.8S ribosomal RNA
Source: RNAcentral